Molecule: ribosomal RNA, 354 nt
Filed under: Triticum aestivum (bread wheat)
Lineage: Eukaryota; Viridiplantae; Streptophyta; Magnoliopsida; Poales; Poaceae
Description: partial small subunit ribosomal RNA
Source: RNAcentral
AUGUUGAUGCAAUACUACUUCACGGACAAUCCUACAUAUCCACCGCAUCUCUUCCGGAGAAGGUAUUGAAUGCGCCGAUCCCUCUUCGUAAAAAUAGUGCAAGCUUGCGAGGCCAAUUCUCGGUUUUUAACUCAAAAGAGAAACGCUGCGGGCUUGAUGGGUUUUAGCGCAUAUUAAAAAAUCUCGGCAGCUAUGUGGGUGAUUGCAUAUGGCAUUCCGGCUGACUAUGCCGACGAAUAUCUUCCAAUUGGCGAAGAUACUACAAUUGAGUCAGUGCAUAGGUUCGCCAAAGUGAUCAUCCGUGUCUUUGGUCCUAUCUACAUGCACCCAACGAGGAAGACACAAAAAUAUUGA